CCUACGGGCGGCAGCAGUGGGGAAUAUUGGACAAUGGGGGCAACCCUGAUCCAGCCAUGCCGCGUGUGUGAAGAAGGCCCUCGGGUUGUAAAGCACUUUCAGUGAGGAAGAACGCCUGGUGGUUAAUACCCAUCAGGAAAGACAUCACUCACAGAAGAAGCACCGGCUAACUCCGUGCCAGCAGCCGCGGUAAUACGGAGGGUGCGAGCGUUAAUCGGAAUUACUGGGCGUAAAGCGCGCGUAGGUGGCUUGAUAAGCCGGUUGUGAAAGCCCCGGGCUCAACCUGGGAACGGCAUCCGGAACUGUCAAGCUAGAGUGCAGGAGAGGAAGGUAGAAUUCCCGGUGUAGCGGUGAAAUGCGUAGAGAUCGGGAGGAAUACCAGUGGCGAAGGCGGCCUUCUGGACUGACACUGACACUGAGGUGCGAAAGCGUGGGUAGCAAACGGGAUUAGAUACCCCUGUAGUC
This 465-nucleotide ribosomal RNA is filed under the name Vreelandella stevensii. RNAcentral's name for it is "partial 16S ribosomal RNA". It matches the Rfam family "Bacterial small subunit ribosomal RNA", at positions 338 to 795 of the family's 1533-position model. Lineage: Bacteria; Pseudomonadati; Pseudomonadota; Gammaproteobacteria; Oceanospirillales; Halomonadaceae. The record is from RNAcentral.